Molecule: small RNA, 73 nt
Filed under: Flaviramulus basaltis
Lineage: Bacteria; Pseudomonadati; Bacteroidota; Flavobacteriia; Flavobacteriales; Flavobacteriaceae
Description: Flavo-1 RNA
Rfam family: Flavo-1 RNA
Source: Rfam by way of RNAcentral
UUUUAGCCCUGAUUGAAGCGACAUCCUUUUUUGAUUUUUCUCAAAAAAGAUAUAGCGGAAAGCAGGAAGUCGC